Long non-coding RNA from Physella acuta, 412 nucleotides. RefSeq lists it as uncharacterized. NCBI's taxonomy places the organism in Eukaryota, Metazoa, Mollusca, Gastropoda, Physidae. The record is from RefSeq and is a predicted model, not a curated record.
AUAAGACCAAGAACAGAUCUUAACAUAACGACGUACACAGACAAAGCUUUUACUAACAUCAAAGACCUGAGAUUGUACAACUCUACCAUAUUUGGAAGACAAUCGAUUAGACGCAAAGUCGUCUUGAUUACUGAUGGGAAGUCUUCAGAUCUUCAAAACACUUUAAGUCUAGCCACUGAGUUGAAGAGCAUUGGCAUACACAUCAUUACCAUCGGUAUUGGUAACGGCGUCCAGAGGUAUGAACUACAAGCCAUAGCUUCUUCUAACAAUGACACGUACUUUGUCUCCACGUAUGAUCAGCUGGUUGGCUACAGGACCCCUCUAAUCAACAAGAUUUGCUAUGAAAAUUCUCCGAUUUUCACUACAACUGUUGCUACUACAACAGUAACGACGACCGUGCCAGUGCCAGGUA